GACGAACGCUGGCGGCGUGCUUAACACAUGCAAGUCGAGCGGUAAGGCCUUUCGGGGUACCCGAGCGGCGAACGGGUGAGUAACACGUGGGUGAUCUGCCCUGCACUUCGGGAUAAGCCUGGGAAACUGGGUCUAAUACCGGAUAUGACCUCCUAUCGCAUGGUGGGUGGUGGAAAGAUUUAUCGGUGCAGGAUGGGCCCGCGGCCUAUCAGCUUGUUGGUGGGGUAAUGGCCUACCAAGGCGACGACGGGUAGCCGACCUGAGAGGGUGACCGGCCACACUGGGACUGAGACACGGCCCAGACUCCUACGGGAGGCAGCAGUGGGGAAUAUUGCACAAUGGGCGAAAGCCUGAUGCAGCGACGCCGCGUGAGGGAUGACGGCCUUCGGGUUGUAAACCUCUUUCAGCAGGGACGAAGCGCAAGUGACGGUACCUGCAGAAGAAGCACCGGCUAACUACGUG
This 462-nucleotide ribosomal RNA is filed under the name uncultured bacterium. RNAcentral describes it as "partial 16S ribosomal RNA". It matches the Rfam family "Bacterial small subunit ribosomal RNA", at positions 28 to 507 of the family's 1533-position model. The record is from RNAcentral.